UGGGGAAUCUUGCACAAUGGGGGCAACCCUGAUGCAGCGACGCCGCGUGAGCGAUGAAGCCCUUCGGGGUGUAAAGCUCUUUCGGCAGGAACGAUAAUGACGGUACCUGAAGAAGAAGCUGCGGCUAACUACGUGCCAGCAGCCGCGGUAAUACGUAGGCAGCGAGCGUUGUUCGGAGUUACUGGGCGUAAAGAGUGCGUAGGCGGUCCUGUAAGUUUGGUGUGAAAUCUCCCGGCUCAACUGGGAGGGUGCGCCGAAGACUGCAGGGCUUGAGUAUGGGAGAGGUAAGCGGAAUUCCUGGUGUAGCGGUGAAAUGCGUAGAUAUCAGGAGGAACACCUGUGGUGUAGACAGCUUACUGGACCAUCACUGACGCUGAGGCACGAAAGCGUGGGUAGCAAACAG
This 403-nucleotide ribosomal RNA is filed under the name uncultured bacterium. Its description in RNAcentral is "bacterial SSU rRNA". It matches the Rfam family "Bacterial small subunit ribosomal RNA", at positions 355 to 775 of the family's 1533-position model. The record is from RNAcentral.